UUUACUUUAUACGUUCAGAUAUUGGGCGUAAGCGCGCGCAGGCGGUCUCUUAAGUCUGAUGUGAAAGCCCACGGCUCAACCGUGGAGGGUCAUUGGAAACUGGGAGACUUGAGUGCAGGAGAGAAAAGUGGAAUUCCACGUGUAGCGGUGAAAUGCGUAGAGAUGUGGAGGAACACCAGUGGCGAAGGCGGCUUUUUGGCCUGUAACUGACGCUGAGGCGCGAAAGCGUGGGGAGCAAACAGGAUUAGAUACCCUGGUAGUCCACGCCGUAAACGAUGAGUGCUAGGUGUUGGGGGGUUCCACCCUCAGUGCUGAAGUUAACACAUUAAGCACUCCGCCUGGGGAGUACGACCGCAAGGUUGAAACUCAAAGGAAUUGACGGGGGCCCGCACAAGCAGUGGAGCAUGUGGUUUAAUUCGAAGCAACGCGAAGAACCUUACCAGGUCUUGACAUCCUUUGACCACUCUAGAGAUAGAGCUUUCCCCUUCGGGGGACAAAGUGACAGGUGGUGCAUGGUUGUCGUCAGCUCGUGUCGUGAGAUGUUGGGUUAAGUCCCGCAACGAGCGCAACCCUUGACCUUAGUUGCCAGCAUUCAGUUGGGCACUCUAAGGUGACUGCCGGUGACAAACCGGAGGAAGGUGGGGAUGACGUCAAAUCAUCAUGCCCCUUAUGACCUGGGCUACACACGUGCUACAAUGGAUGAUACAAAGGGUUGCGAAGCCGCGAGGCCAAGCCAAUCCCAAAAAGUCAUUCUCAGUUCGGAUUGUAGGCUGCAACUCGCCUACAUGAAGCCGGAAUUGCUAGUAAUCGCGGAUCAGCAUGCCGCGGUGAAUACGUUCCCGGGCCUUGUACACACCGCCCGUCACACCACGAGAGUUUGUAACACCCGAAGUCGGUGGGGUAACCCUUUUGGGAGCCAGCCGCCGAAGGUGGGACAGAUGAUUGGGGGUGAAGUCGUACAAAAGUUAGAUCA
RNAcentral lists this ribosomal RNA (973 nucleotides) under Fictibacillus nanhaiensis. RNAcentral's name for it is "bacterial SSU rRNA". It matches the Rfam family "Bacterial small subunit ribosomal RNA". Lineage: Bacteria; Bacillati; Bacillota; Bacilli; Caryophanales; Fictibacillaceae. The record is from RNAcentral.